GUUAUAUAGUCAAGUGAUUAAGCGUACACGGUGGAUGCCUUGGCAGCCAGAGGCGAUGAAGGACGUAGUAGCCUGCGAUAAGCUCCGGUUAGGUGGCAAACA
This 102-nucleotide ribosomal RNA is filed under the name Alcanivorax profundi. Its description in RNAcentral is "Alcanivorax sp. MTEO17 partial 23S ribosomal RNA". It matches the Rfam family "Bacterial large subunit ribosomal RNA", at positions 1 to 95 of the family's 2925-position model. Lineage: Bacteria; Pseudomonadati; Pseudomonadota; Gammaproteobacteria; Oceanospirillales; Alcanivoracaceae. The record is from RNAcentral.